This 459-nucleotide ribosomal RNA is filed under the name uncultured bacterium. RNAcentral describes it as "partial 16S ribosomal RNA". It matches the Rfam family "Bacterial small subunit ribosomal RNA", at positions 339 to 795 of the family's 1533-position model. The record is from RNAcentral.
CUACGGGAGGCUCCAGUAAGGAAUAUUGCGCAAUGGAGGCAACUCUGACGCAGCCAUGCCGCGUGCAGGAAGAAGGCCUUAUGGGUCGUAAACUGCUUUUAUUUAGGAAUAAACCCCCGAACGUGUUCGGGGCUGAAGGUACUAAAUGAAUAAGCACCGGCUAACUCCGUGCCAGCAGCCGCGGUAAUACGGAGGGUGCAAGCGUUAUCCGGAUUUAUUGGGUUUAAAGGGUGCGCAGGCGGGCUAUUAAGUCAGUGGUGAAAUCCCGGGGCUCAACUCCGGAACUGCCAUUGAUACUGAUAGUCUUGAGUUUGGUUGAAGUGGGCGGAAUGUAGCAUGUAGCGGUGAAAUGCAUAGAUAUGCUACAGAACACCAAUCGCGAAGGCAGCUCACUAAGCCAAAACUGACGCUCAUGCACGAAAGCGUGGGGAUCAAACAGGAUUAGAUACCCUAGUAGUC